Molecule: ribosomal RNA, 254 nt
Filed under: uncultured bacterium
Lineage: Bacteria
Description: partial 16S ribosomal RNA
Rfam family: Bacterial small subunit ribosomal RNA
Source: RNAcentral
UACGUAGGGGCCGAGCGUUGUCCGGAUUUAUUGGGCGUAAAGAGCUCGUAGGCGGUUGGGUAAGUCGGGUGUGAAAACUCCAGGCUCAACUUGGAGACGCCACCCGAUACUGCUCUGACUUGAGUUCGGUAGGGGAGUGUGGAAUUCCCGGUGUAGCGGUGAAAUGCGCAGAUAUCGGGAGGAACACCAGUGGCGAAGGCGGCACUCUGGGCCGGAACUGACGCUGAGGAGCGAAAGCGUGGGGAGCGAACAGG